GUCUUUUUAGUUUAUAAAUAAAGUCAAACCUGCCCAUUGAAAAUUUUUAAAAGGCUGCGGUAUUUUGACCGUACAAAGGUAGCAUAAUCAUUAGUUUUUUAAUUGAAAACUUGUAUGAAUGGUUUAAUGAAAAAUUAACUUUUUAAAAAAAAAUAUUGAAUUUUACUUUUUAGUUAAAAGGCUAAAAUAAAUUUAAAAGACGAGAAGACCCUAUAGAGUUUUAUAAAUAUAAUUUAUGUAAAUAAUAUAGUUAAUUUUUAAUAAUAUUGAAUUAAUCUAUUUUGUUGGGGUGAUAAUAAAAUUUAAUUAACUUUUAUUUUACAUUAAACAUUAAUAUAUGAAUAAUUGAUCCAUUAAUAUUGAUUAAAAAUUUAAAUUACCUUAGGGAUAACAGCGUAAUUUUUUUUAAAGCUCUUAUUUAUAAAAAAUUUUGCGACCUCGAUGUUGGAUUAAGAAUAAUUUUAGGUGCAGUAGCUUAAAUUUUAAGUCUGUUCGACUUUUAAAAUCUU
RNAcentral lists this ribosomal RNA (509 nucleotides) under Bradysia procera. Its description in RNAcentral is "partial 16S ribosomal RNA". The record is from RNAcentral. Lineage: Eukaryota; Metazoa; Arthropoda; Insecta; Diptera; Sciaridae.